UAUACGGAGGGUGCAAGCGUUACUCGGAAUCACUGGGCGUAAAGGGCGCGUAGGCGGAUUAUCAAGUCUCUUGUGAAAUCUAAUGGCUUAACCAUUAAACUGCUUGGGAAACUGAUAGUCUAGAGUGAGGGAGAGGCAGAUGGAAUUGGUGGUGUAGGGGUAAAAUCCGUAGAUAUCACCAAGAAUACCCAUUGCGAAGGCGAUCUGCUGGAACUCAACUGACGCUAAGGCGCGAAAGCGUGGGGAGCAAACAGGAUUAGAUACCCUGGUAGUCCACGCCCUAAACGAUGUACACUAGUUGUUGGGAUGCUAGUCAUCUCAGUAAUGCAGCUAACGCAUUAAGUGUACCGCCUGGGGAGUACGGUCGCAAGAUUAAAACUCAAAGGAAUAGACGGGGACCCGCACAAGCGGUGGAGCAUGUGGUUUAAUUCGAAGAUACGCGAAGAACCUUACCUGGGCUUGAUAUCCUAAGAACCUUUUAGAGAUAAGAGGGUGCUAGCUUGCUAGAACUUAGAGACAGGUGCUGCACGGCUGUCGUCAGCUCGUGUCGUGAGAUGUUGGGUUAAGUCCCGCAACGAGCGCAACCCACGUAUUUAGUUGCUAACGGUUCGGCCGAGCUACUCUAAAUAGACUGCCUUCGUAAGGAGGAGGAAGGUGUGGACGACGUCAAGUCAUCAUGGCCCUUAUGCCCAGGGCGACACACGUGCUACAAUGGCAUAUACAAUGAGACGCAAUACCGCGAGGUGGAGCAAAUCUAUAAAAUAUGUCCCAGUUCGGAUUGUUCUCUGCAACUCGAGAGCAUGAAG
This 806-nucleotide ribosomal RNA is filed under the name uncultured Campylobacter sp. RNAcentral describes it as "bacterial SSU rRNA". It matches the Rfam family "Bacterial small subunit ribosomal RNA", at positions 522 to 1325 of the family's 1533-position model. The record is from RNAcentral. Lineage: Bacteria; Pseudomonadati; Campylobacterota; Epsilonproteobacteria; Campylobacterales; Campylobacteraceae.